RNAcentral lists this ribosomal RNA (397 nucleotides) under Lezina sp. MCJ-2002. RNAcentral's name for it is "SSU rRNA". It matches the Rfam family "Eukaryotic small subunit ribosomal RNA", at positions 9 to 390 of the family's 1831-position model. Lineage: Eukaryota; Metazoa; Arthropoda; Insecta; Orthoptera; Gryllacrididae. The record is from RNAcentral.
UGAUCCUGCCAGUAGUCAUAUGCUUGUCUCAAAGAUUAAGCCAUGCAUGUCUCAGUGCAAGCCACAUUAAGGUGAAACCGCGAAUGGCUCAUUAAAUCAGUUAUGGUUCCUUAGAUCCUACCCACAUUACUUGGAUAACUGUGGUAAUUCUAGAGCUAAUACAUGCAAGCUGAGUCCCGACCAGAAAUGGAAGGGACGCUUUUAUUAGAUCAAAACCAAUCGGUCGGCUCGUCCGGUCCGUACUCCUUGGUGACUCUGAAUAACUUUGGGCUGAUCGCACGGUCCUAGUACCGGCGACGCAUCUUUCAAAUGUCUGCCUUAUCAACUGUCGAUGGUAGGUUCUGCGCCUACCAUGGUUGUAACGGGUAACGGGGAAUCAGGGUUCGAUUCCGGAGAG